GUUAUAUGGUCAAGCGAAUAAGUGCAUACGGUGGAUGCCUUGGCAGCUGGAGGCGAUGAAGGACGUGGUAGCCUGCGAUAAGCUUCGGGGAGGUGGCAAACGACCUGUGAUCCGGAGAUUUCCGAAUGGGGGAACCCGGCCACUUUUAGUGGUCAUCACAUGCUGAAUCCAUAGGCAUGUGAGGCGAACCCGGGGAACUGAAACAUCUAAGUACCCGGAGGAAAAGAAAUCAACCGAGAUUCCCUAAGUAGCGGCGAGCGAAAGGGGAGGAGCCUGCAAGUGAUAGCAUCUGAGUUAGGGGAAGCGUCUGGAAAGUCGCGCGAUACAGGGUGAUAGCCCCGUACCCGAAAACUCGGAUGUGGUACUAAGCUUGCGACAAGUAGGUCGGGACACGUGUUAUCCUGACUGAAGAUGGGGGGACCAUCCUCCAAGGCUAAAUACUCCCAGCUGACCGAUAGUGAACCAGUACCGUGAGGGAAAGGCGAAAAGAACCCCGGUGAGGGGAGUGAAAUAGAACCUGAAACCGUAUGCAUACAAGCAGUGGGAGCCUGUCUUCGGACGGGUGACUGCGUACCUUUUGUAUAAUGGGUCAGCGACUUAAUCUCAGUAGCAAGGUUAACCGCUUAGGGGAGCCGUAGGGAAACCGAGUCUUAAAUGGGCGUUUAGUUGCUGGGAUUAGACCCGAAACCGGGCGAUCUAGCCAUGGGCAGGUUGAAGGUUGAGUAACAUCAACUGGAGGACCGAACCCACUGAUGUUGAAAAAUCAGGGGAUGACCUGUGGCUAGGAGUGAAAGGCUAAUCAAGCUCGGAGAUAGCUGGUUCUCCCCGAAAGCUAUUUAGGUAGCGCCUCGGACGAACACCUACGGGGGUAGAGCACUGUUUCGGCUAGGGGCCCGUCUAGGGUUACCAAACCGAUGCAAACUCCGAAUACCGUAGAGUGCUAUCCGGGAGACACACGGCGGGUGCUAACGUCCGUCGUGGAGAGGGAAACAACCCAGACCGCCAGCUAAGGUCCCCAAAUUCCAGUUAAGUGGGAAACGAUGUGGGAAGGCUUAGACAGCCAGGAGGUUGGCUUAGAAGCAGCCACCCUUUAAAGAAAGCGUAAUAGCUCACUGGUCGAGUCGGCCUGCGCGGAAGAUUUAACGGGGCUCAAACUGGAUACCGAAGCUGCGGCAGCAAUGUAAAUUGCUGGGUAGGGGAGCGUUCUGUACGCCUGCGAAGGCAAGUCGAGAGGCUUGCUGGAGGUAUCAGAAGUGCGAAUGCUGACAUGAGUAACGAUAAUGGGGGUGAAAAACCCCCACGCCGAAAACCCAAGGGUUCCUGUUCGACGUUAAUCGGAGCAGGGUGAGUCGGCCCCUAAGGCGAGGCAGAAAUGCGUAGUCGAUGGGAAACAGGUUAAUAUUCCUGUACCUCGCAUAAGUGCGAUGGGGUGACGGAGAAGGCUAGGCCAGCCUGGCGAUGGUUGUCCAGGUUUAAGGUGGUAGGCAGGCAAUCUAGGCAAAUCCGGAUUGUCAAUGCCGAGAGCUGAUGACGAGGCACCACGGUGCCGAAGUGGUUGAUGCCAUGCUUCCAGGAAAAACCUCUAAGCUUCAGCUUAUGCGAGACCGUACCCGAAACCGACACAGGUGGGUAGGUAGAGAAUACCAAGGCGCUUGAGAGAACUCGGGUGAAGGAACUAGGCAAAAUGGUACCGUAACUUCGGGAGAAGGUACGCUCCUGACGGUGAACGCUUCGCGCGGUAAGCUGUUGGGAGUCGCAGAGACCAGGUGGCUGCGACUGUUUAUUAAAAACACAGCACUCUGCAAACACGAAAGUGGACGUAUAGGGUGUGACGCCUGCCCGGUGCCGGAAGGUUAAGUGAUGGGGUUA
This 1869-nucleotide ribosomal RNA is filed under the name Deltaproteobacteria bacterium. Its description in RNAcentral is "bacterial LSU rRNA". It matches the Rfam family "Bacterial large subunit ribosomal RNA", at positions 1 to 1892 of the family's 2925-position model. Lineage: Bacteria; Pseudomonadati; Myxococcota; Myxococcia. The record is from RNAcentral.